GCUCGACAACUGCAAGCCCUGCGGUGGUGCGAUUCCGCUGUGUAUGGUCGGCGAGUUCGAUCUCCCGUUGGACCUGAUUGACCGUCGUGUCACGAAGAUGAAGAUGAUCUCUCCAUCGAACGUCGCCGUUGACAUUGGCCGAACCUUAAAACCUCACGAGUACAUUGGGAUGGUUCGGCGAGAGGUUCUGGACGCGUAUCUUCGCAAUCGAGCCGCUGAGAAUGGGGCUAAUGUGAUUAAUGGCUUGGUGAUGAAAUUGGAACUUCCGAAGGAACAAA
This 278-nucleotide unclassified non-coding RNA is filed under the name Hevea brasiliensis (rubber tree). Lineage: Eukaryota; Viridiplantae; Streptophyta; Magnoliopsida; Malpighiales; Euphorbiaceae. The record is from RNAcentral.